UACAGAGGUCCCAAGCGUUGUUCGGAUUCAUUGGGCGUAAAGGGUGCGUAGGUGACGCUGUAAGUGGGGUGUGAAAUUUCGGAGCUUAACUCCGAAACUGCAUUCCAUACUGCGGUGCUUGAGGACUGGAGAGGAGACUGGAAUUUACGGUGUAGCAGUGAAAUGCGUAGAGAUCGUAUGGAAGACCAGUGGCGAAGGCGGGUCUCUGGACAGUUCCUGACACUGAGGCACGAAGGCCAGGGGAGCAAACGGG
Molecule: ribosomal RNA, 253 nt
Filed under: uncultured bacterium
Lineage: Bacteria
Description: partial 16S ribosomal RNA
Rfam family: Bacterial small subunit ribosomal RNA
Source: RNAcentral